This 210-nucleotide ribosomal RNA is filed under the name uncultured bacterium. RNAcentral describes it as "partial 16S ribosomal RNA". It matches the Rfam family "Bacterial small subunit ribosomal RNA", at positions 566 to 774 of the family's 1533-position model. The record is from RNAcentral.
AGGUACGUAGGCUGUUAUUUAAGUCAGAUGUGAAAGCCCCGGGCUUAACCUGGGAACUGCAUUUGAUACUGGGUAACUAGAGUCUGGUAGAGGGUAGUGGAAUUCCACGUGUAGCGGUGAAAUGCGUAGAUAUGUGGAGGAACAUCAGUGGCGAAGGCGACUGCCUGGACCAAGACUGACGCUGAGGUACGAAAGCGUGGGGAGCAAACA